ACACAAAAAUCACACUUCCUUCACUAUGACCGUGAAGGUGGUUUUCUCAGGGCAAGGCCCAUCAUACUCAGGAUGUGCUGACCCCUGUGAUAUCUCCAAAUUCCCAGAAUUUUGACUGCAAAAUUUGUGGUAGUGGGAGCCUGAGUUCACACUCUUUCCUG
Molecule: small nuclear RNA, 161 nt
Filed under: Sorex araneus (European shrew)
Lineage: Eukaryota; Metazoa; Chordata; Mammalia; Eulipotyphla; Soricidae
Description: U1 spliceosomal RNA (ENSSARG00000018735.1)
Rfam family: U1 spliceosomal RNA
About the family: U1 is a small nuclear RNA (snRNA) component of the spliceosome (involved in pre-mRNA splicing).
Source: RNAcentral